This 525-nucleotide ribosomal RNA is filed under the name uncultured bacterium. RNAcentral describes it as "partial 16S ribosomal RNA". It matches the Rfam family "Bacterial small subunit ribosomal RNA", at positions 355 to 868 of the family's 1533-position model. The record is from RNAcentral.
UGGGGAAUUUUGGACAAUGGGCGAAAGCCUGAUCCAGCAAUGCCGCGUGUGUGAAGAAGGCCUUCGGGUUGUAAAGCACUUUUGUCCGGAAAGAAAUCCUUGGCUCUAAUACAGUCGGGGGAUGACGGUACCGGAAGAAUAAGCACCGGCUAACUACGUGCCAGCAGCCGCGGUAAUACGUAGGGUGCAAGCGUUAAUCGGAAUUACUGGGCGUAAAGCGUGCGCAGGCGGUUUUGCUAAGACCGAUGUGAAAUCCCCGGGCUCAACCUGGGAACUGCAUUGGUGACUGGCAGGCUAGAGUAUGGCAGAGGGGGGUAGAAUUCCACGUGUAGCAGUGAAAUGCGUAGAGAUGUGGAGGAAUACCGAUGGCGAAGGCAGCCCCCUGGGGCCAAAUACUGACGCUCAUGCACGAAAGCGUGGGGGAGCAAACAGGAUUAGAUACCCUGGUAGUCCAGCGCCCUAAACGAUGUCAACUAGUUGUUGGGGAUUCAUUUCCUUAGUAACGUAGCUAACGCGUGAAGUUGA